This 266-nucleotide ribosomal RNA is filed under the name uncultured bacterium. RNAcentral's name for it is "partial 16S ribosomal RNA". It matches the Rfam family "Bacterial small subunit ribosomal RNA", at positions 793 to 1055 of the family's 1533-position model. The record is from RNAcentral.
GUCCACGCCGUAAACGAUGAGUGCUAGAUGUUUCUGGUAUUGACCCCGGAGGCGUCGUAGCUAACGCGUUAAGCACUCCGCCUGGGGAGUACGGCCGCAAGGCUAAAACUCAAAGGAAUUGACGGGGCCCGCACAAGCGGUGGAGCAUGUGGUUCAAUUCGACGCAACGCGAAGAACCUUACCUGGGUUGGAACCCUCCAGAAGUCCGCAGAGAUGUGGAUGUGCCCGCAAGGGAAUUGGAUGUCCAGGUGCUGCAUGGCUGUCGU